AGCGAACGCUGGCGGCAGGCUUAACACAUGCAAGUCGAGCGGGCGUAGCAAUACGUCAGCGGCAGACGGGUGAGUAACGCGUGGGAACGUACCUUUUGGUUCGGAACAACACAGGGAAACUUGUGCUAAUACCGGAUAAGCCCUUACGGGGAAAGAUUUAUCGCCGCAAGAUCGGCCCGCGUCUGAUUAGCUAGUUGGUGAGGUAACGGCUCACCAAGGCGACGAUCAGUAGCUGGUCUGAGAGGAUGAUCAGCCACAUUGGUACUGAGACACGGCCCAAACUCCUACGGGAGGCAGCAGUGGGGAAUAUUGGACAAUGGGGGCAACCCUGAUCCAGCCAUGCCGCGUGAGUGAUGAAGGCCCUAGGGUUGUAAAGCUCUUUUGUGCGGGAAGAUAAUGACGGUACCGAAAGAAUAAGCCCCGGCUAACUUCGUG
Molecule: ribosomal RNA, 435 nt
Filed under: uncultured bacterium
Lineage: Bacteria
Description: partial 16S ribosomal RNA
Rfam family: Bacterial small subunit ribosomal RNA
Source: RNAcentral